Molecule: ribosomal RNA, 374 nt
Filed under: uncultured fungus
Lineage: Eukaryota; Fungi
Description: partial small subunit ribosomal RNA
Rfam family: Eukaryotic small subunit ribosomal RNA
Source: RNAcentral
GCUUGUCUCAAAGAUUAAGCCAUGCAUGUUCAAGUAUAGCAAGUGUACAGUGAAACUGCGAAUGGCUCAUUAAAUCAGUUAUAAUUUAUUUGAUAGUGAAAUUGUACAUGGAUAACCGUGGCAAUUCUAGAGCUAAUACAUGACUAAAAGGGCUAGCCCUGCAUUUAUUAGAUACAACCAACCCUUCGGGUUUUGGCGAAUCAUAAUAACUGAGCGGACCGUAUUCGUACGGCGUUUCUUAUUAAUUUCUGCCCUAUCAGCUUUCGAUGGUAGGGUAUUGGCCUACCAUGGCGUUAACGGGUAACGGAGAAUUAGGGUUCGAUUCCGGAGAGGGAGCCUGAGAGAUGGCUACCACAUCCAAGGAAGGCAGCAGG